CAGCACCUCAAGUGGUCAGGAUGAUUAUUGGGCCUAAAGCAUCCGUAGCCGGCUCUGUAAGUUUUCGGUUAAAUCUGUACGCUCAACGUACAGGCUGCCGGGAAUACUGCAGAGCUAGGGAGUGGGAGAGGUAGACGGUACUCGGUAGGAAGGGGUAAAAUCCUUUGAUCUAUUGAUGACCACCUGUGGCGAAGGCGGUCUACCAGAACACGUCCGACGGUGAGGGAUGAAAGCUGGGGGAGCAAACCGGAUUAGAUACCCAAGUAGUCC
This 270-nucleotide ribosomal RNA is filed under the name uncultured archaeon. RNAcentral's name for it is "partial 16S ribosomal RNA". It matches the Rfam family "Archaeal small subunit ribosomal RNA", at positions 477 to 747 of the family's 1478-position model. The record is from RNAcentral.